UUGACGGGGACCCGCACAAGCGGUGGAUGAUGUGGAUUAAUUCGAUGCAACGCGAAGAACCUUACUACCCUUGACAUGUCCGGAACUUGCCAGAGAUGGCUUGGUGCCCGAAAGGGAAUCGGAACACAGGUGCUGCAUGGCUGUCGUCAGCUCGUGUCGUGAGAUGUUGGGUUAAGUCCCGCAACGAGCGCAACCCUUAUCAUUAGUUGCUACGCAAGGGCACUCUAAUGAGACUGCCGGUGACAAACCGGAGGAAGGUGGGGAUGACGUCAAGUCCUCAUGGCCCUUAUGGGUAGGGCUUCACACGUCAUACAAUGGUCGGUACAGAGGGUUGCCAAGCCGCGAGGCGGAGCCAAUCCCACAAAGCCGAUCGUAGUCCGGAUUGUUCUCUGCAACUCGAGAGCAUGAAGUCGGAAUCGCCAGUAAUCGCAGGUCAGCAUACUGCGGUGAAUACGUCCCCGGGUCUU
RNAcentral lists this ribosomal RNA (467 nucleotides) under uncultured Thiobacillus sp. RNAcentral describes it as "bacterial SSU rRNA". It matches the Rfam family "Bacterial small subunit ribosomal RNA", at positions 910 to 1382 of the family's 1533-position model. Lineage: Bacteria; Pseudomonadati; Pseudomonadota; Betaproteobacteria; Nitrosomonadales; Thiobacillaceae. The record is from RNAcentral.